This 497-nucleotide ribosomal RNA is filed under the name uncultured beta proteobacterium. RNAcentral describes it as "bacterial SSU rRNA". It matches the Rfam family "Bacterial small subunit ribosomal RNA", at positions 39 to 529 of the family's 1533-position model. Lineage: Bacteria; Pseudomonadati; Pseudomonadota; Betaproteobacteria. The record is from RNAcentral.
GCGGCAUGCUUUACACAUGCAAGUCGAGCGGCAGCGCGGGGGCAACCCUGGCGGCGAGCGGCGAACGGGUGAGUAAUGCAUCGGAACGUGUCCCGUAGUGGGGGAUAACCCGGCGAAAGCCGGGCUAAUACCGCAUAUGCUCUACGGAGGAAAGUGGGGGACUCGCAANAGCCUCACGCUAUGGGAGCGGCCGAUGUCCGAUUAGCUUGUUGGUGGGGUAAUGGCUUACCAAGGCGACGAUCGGUAACUGGUCUGAGAGGAUGAUCAGCCACACUGGGACUGAGACACGGCCCAGACUCCUACGGGAGGCAGCAGUGGGGAAUUUUGGACAAUGGGGGCAACCCUGAUCCAGCCAUGCCGCGUGCGGGAAGAAGGCCUUCGGGUUGUAAACCGCUUUUAGCUGGGAAGAAAAGGACGAGGCUAAUACCUNCGUUUUUUGACGGUACCGGCAGAAUAAGCACCGGCUAACUACGUGCCAGCAGCCGCGGUAAUACGUA